CCUCCUGGGAGAUUUGGGGUCGUGUCCCCCCCCCCGGUUUCCCAAGUUUGGGGUUUUGGGGUGCCCACGUCCUGACCCUGGGGGGGGUUGGGGUUCCCUAAUCCCAAUCCCUGGACUUUUGGGUUUCCCUAAUCCCCAUCCCUAGAUUUUUGGAAUCCCCAAAUCCCAAUCCCUGGACCCUUGGGCUCCCCAAAUCCCAACCCCUUGAGUUUUGGGCUCCCCAAAUCCCAACCCCUGGGGGGUUUGGGGCCCCCAAAUCCCAAUCCCUGAACCCUUGGGGCCCCCAAAUCCCAACCCCUGGGGGUUUGGGGUUCCCAAUUCCCAAUCCCUGAAGCCUUUGGGUCCCCAAAUCCCACUCCCUGGGGGUUUGGGGCCCCCAAAUCCCAAUCCCUGGACCUUUUGGAUCCCCAAAUCCCAAUCCCUUGAGUUUUGGGCUCCCCAAAUCCCAAUCCCUGAACCCUUGGGGUCCCCAAAUCCCAAACCCUGGAUUUUUGGGGUUCCCAAAUCCCAACCCCUUGAGUUUUGGGCUCCCCACAUCCCAAACCCUGGACCUUUGGGCUCCCCAAAUCCCAACCCCUGCACCUUUGGCGUUCCCUAAUCCCACUCCCUGGAUUUUUGGGGUUCCCAAAUCCCACUCCCUUUACCUUUGCACCCCUUUACACCCCCCCUAUUUUCUCCCCCCCCCCACCCCCCCACGGCCCCCCCCCCCCCCCCCCCGCGGCGCCGUGGGGGGGUCCCUGGGCUCCAAACAGGUCCCGGCGACCCCCAGGGGUCCCGUGGGGACCCCCCUGGACCCCCAGGGUCCCGUCUGGGUCCCAGUGGGCUCGGAGCUGCAGCUCCAGUGCUCCCAGUCCCACUGCCCCUGCUUCCAGUUGCUCGGCCCAGUGCCCCCCCCAGACACAAAGUCCCAAAACCAAGCCUUCUUCAGCAUCCCGGUCAAUACUGGGACCAAGGUCACCUGCCGCUGCUGGAAGGAUACUGGGAGCACUGGGAGCACUGGGAGCACUGGGAGCACUGGGAGCCCUGUGAGUUGUAGGGGUACUGGGACGACUUGGAGCCCUGGGAGCACCAGUGAAGAGCUGGUCGUGGUGGCGUAUAGUGAGUGGGGGAACUGGGAGGAACUGGGGAGGACUGGGAGGAACUGGGGAGGACUGGGGGGGAAGUGGGGAGGACUGGGGGGAAGUGGGGGGAACUGGGGGCAGGGAUGGGGACAUACUGGGGGAAACUGGGGAUGGGUACUGGGAACAGGGCGGGGCAGAAACUGGGGGAACUGGGGUGAAACUGGGGGGCCAGUUCCACCCAAACUGGGACAAACUGGGAGUGGGCUGGGGGAAGGGGUCAUGUCCCCCCUG
Molecule: long non-coding RNA, 1352 nt
Filed under: Anas platyrhynchos platyrhynchos (common mallard)
Lineage: Eukaryota; Metazoa; Chordata; Aves; Anseriformes; Anatidae
Description: lncRNA (ENSAPLG00000022102.1)
Source: RNAcentral